This is a long non-coding RNA of Alosa sapidissima (American shad), 663 nucleotides long. RefSeq lists it as uncharacterized. Lineage: Eukaryota; Metazoa; Chordata; Actinopteri; Clupeiformes; Clupeidae. The record is from RefSeq and is a predicted model, not a curated record. The transcript has 3 exons.
UAAACAAUUAAAUAGCCUGACUUUUUAAUGUUUUAUAAAAUGGAAAUAUAGUGUUUUGGAACCAAACACUUCAAGUGAUUAUUUCAGAAAGCUGUGAGUGAUAGGUUAAUGUAGUAUAACUUUUUUUUUUUUUUUUUUCAUUUUAAGAAAAAGUUGAAUAUUGGGGAGGACCAUGGGCCUUUCCAUAAACAUCAUGGAUUGAAGAACAAUUUAAAUAUAACCAUAAACACAAACAAACGUGAUUUAUAAAACCAAUAUUUGGAAUAUUAGGCAUUUAAAUUCAGCAAAACAGUAGCAUCCACGAGUAUCACAACCAGUUUGUCACGGCCAAGAUAGCACCCAAAUAGUUCUGAUAUGACUGUCAAGACUGAAUGGUGGAGGGUAGGAAGUAAGAUAAUGAAUUUAAAUGGGCCAAUCUACUGCCCCCGCUGCAUGGGAUGAGGGCCGACGCUUCCCACGGGGAGAGGAACUCAGGUCAGGUAUGUUAUUCUCUAUCUCAGGUUGCAUGCAACAGAUUUGAUCCCUUAAGUUUCACAUGGAAAGUCUUUAUGAGAAUUUCAGAAUAUUCCAGCUGCCUUUAUUAAUUCUAUGUUUUCAACUGUGUUUUAACUGUUGAUGGGUUCGUUUGCCAUAUAACAUGUUUGUCUUGUUUAUGAAAUAUGU